Molecule: ribosomal RNA, 549 nt
Filed under: Ichneumon caloscelis
Lineage: Eukaryota; Metazoa; Arthropoda; Insecta; Hymenoptera; Ichneumonidae
Description: eukaryotic LSU rRNA
Source: RNAcentral
CGAAUGGGGAGAUUCAUCGUCAGCGAUUCCGGUACGUGUGCGGCUCGCGAUGUCCGAGACUUCGGUCUCGCGGCACGCGUCCGCAUGUUUUUUAUUGCUGGAAUCGUCGGCGUGCACUUCUCCCCUAGUAGGACGUCGCGACCCGUUGGGUGUCGGUCUACGGCACGGUAGGUAGCCUGUCACGUGUGCGCUUCACGGCGUUACGCGGGGCAGACCUCCGUUCGCCCGACCGGCUGCUCGGCGGUACUCGCAAGGUAUCUGGCCGCAGACAUACGAACUGCGUCCGGCCCGUCGCAAGCGCGGCAAGUGUUUCCCGGCUGUCACGGAUCCAAUGCCGUCACCGGGCCUUGCCAGCUGUUGGUUGACGGUGUCCUAGGACUGGCUAACAAAAUUAUGAUACCGGUCGGCGACGCUACUGCUUUGGGUACUUUCAGGACCCGUCUUGAAACACGGACCAAGGAGUCUAACAUGUGCGCGAGUCAUUGGGAGCUAUUAAGCCUAAAGGCGCAAUGAAAGUGAAGAUCGGCCUUGCGCCGAUCGAGGGAGGAU